RNAcentral lists this ribosomal RNA (474 nucleotides) under Hemithiris psittacea. Its description in RNAcentral is "partial 16S large subunit ribosomal RNA". It matches the Rfam family "Bacterial large subunit ribosomal RNA", at positions 1845 to 2583 of the family's 2925-position model. Lineage: Eukaryota; Metazoa; Brachiopoda; Rhynchonellata; Rhynchonellida; Hemithyrididae. The record is from RNAcentral.
AUGGGGGGCCAAUCUGCCCGGUGCAUUAGUUUGUAAACGGCCGCGGUAUCCUGACCGUGCGAAGGUAGCAUAAUAACUUGCCUAGUAAUUUUAGGCCGGUAUGAAGGAUCAAACGAGAGGCUAGCUGUCUCCUCUAUAACACUAAAAACUAACCUCCAGAUGAAAAGGUCUGGAUUUAAUCAAAGGACGAAAAGACCCCGUCGAGCUUAAAUGGCCCCCCGGUCCCCGAAUUUAAACCGAAUAAACCGUUUUUGUUGGGGCAACACAGGAUUAAAUCUACAGUAAAUAAGUAAAACCAUCCUUACCAAACUUUCAAACAAGAAAACACACCGAAUCUAACGCCAUCGAAAAAGCUACCGCAGGGAUAACAGCGUAAUCUCUUUUGAGAGCCCGUAUCGAUAAAGAGGAUUGCGACCUCGAUGUUGGACUAAGGAACCUGUUAGAAGCAGAAAUCUAACGCAGGGGGUCUGUUCG